AAUGAACGCUGGCGGCAGGCCUAACACAUGCAAGUCAAACGGCUUCUUCGGAAGCAGUGGCGCACGGGUGCGUAACACGUGGGAAUGUACCCUUAGGUACGGAAUAACUCAGGGAAACCUGCGCUAAUACCGUAUAAUAUCUCCGGAUCAAAGAUUUAUCGCCUAGGGAUCAGCCCGCGCCUGAUUAGUUUGUUGGUGAGGUAAAAGCUCACCAAGACUACGAUCAGUAGCUGGUCUGAGAGGAUGAUCAGCCACACUGGAACUGAGACACGGUCCAGACUCCUACGGGAGGCAGCAGUGAGGAAUAUUGCACAAUGGAGGAAACUCUGAUGCAGCCAUGCCGCGUGAGUGAAGAAGGCCCUAGGGUUGUAAAGCUCUUUCAGUAGUGAAGAUUAUGACGGUAACUACAGAAGAAGCUCCGGCUAACUCGUGCCAGCAGCCGCGGUAA
RNAcentral lists this ribosomal RNA (448 nucleotides) under uncultured bacterium. RNAcentral's name for it is "bacterial SSU rRNA". It matches the Rfam family "Bacterial small subunit ribosomal RNA", at positions 29 to 523 of the family's 1533-position model. The record is from RNAcentral.